UUUCAUUUAUUUGAAAGCUCACAAAAACAUACUAAUUUAAACACUAAUUAUUCAUUUGUCUUCAUGAAAUGCAUGAUCCAGAUGCAGAUAUAUAUGAAUAGAUGUGCUCUGUAAUAUUUACGUUGCACCUUAUCAGGAUCAGAUUAGUAUGAUGCAUGUUCUUCUGAUACUUUUUCACACUCUCUUAUGAAAAUAAUGCUUUUGCUUAACAGACUCAGUUUUACCUCCUGCUCUAGAUAAUCAGAAACGGUGGAAUACAAGACUUUUUUGUUUUCCUUAUUUGUAAGACUUUCACAGCUGAGAACACUGAACCAGCUGUCAAGUACGGUGGUGGUAGAUCACACUUUGGGUCUGCUGAGCCAAGCAUUUAAAAGGCUUUAAUUGGAAUAGAAAGUGGUUCAGAAAUAGUGUCUUCUUUGGGAUAAAAGGCAUGAACUUUUUAAAGCAGCGAAGAGGAAGAGGAAAAUUUCAAUGGCAAAAUAGAAGCUCUUGAACUUGAUAUUUAAGCACGAAAUCACUCUUGGACUUGUCACUUGUAGUUGUUAUGGAGCAAAGAGGAUGUGAAGUGUUGAAGAACUGAAGCUAUUUUCAAGUAUGGCUUUUCUCAGAUAUACUUCUGAGAAAAAUUUCUCAGAGGAAUUUCUAACCUUAUAGGUAUUCUGAAUCAAGCAAGUUAUUUAAGAAAGCCACAAAGCACAACACUGUUUGAAGUUUAAAUACUGUCAAUAGUUUCAAUGUCUGUUAGAUCUGAACUAUUCCACAGUUGCAUUUUGCUUUCUCUAUUCAAAAACUAGUGUUGAUGUGUAUUUGGGGUCGUUUUCUAGUUGAACACCGUGUUAAAGUUGACCGGAUGUUUGGCAACAACGCAGAAAUCACUAAGGCUCAAAACUAUUAUAAACUGGAAUAUUCUGGAUACAAAUAUCCAGAAUUAGUCCAGAAUGUUUUCAGAAACUUGUUGGUGGGUACAAAAAGUGUUUGUUUUCCCUGCAACUUGGAAAGAGACAUUUAACCAAGUAUUAGUGUUAAUCUAAUCCUGUUUGGAUCAGUGAAAAAACCCAGCAGUAAUUCAAACAUGUGCACACUAUUCUGGGUGUUAAAGUUCAUCAAGUAAUCAUAGACAAAUAGCACAUUAUUAAAAGCUCAAACUUACUGAGAUUCAUUUCCAGAAAUUGUAAAUGCAUAUAGUAUGCAUUUAUAGUCUACAGAGGAAUGCAUUUCAUUUCCAUCUUUUUUGCUAGUGCUAGAUCUUUACAGCGAAGCCAUUUGAAUGCUAAUGUGCUGGUUGUGUCCCUCCACAGAACGAGUCAGCAGUGGGCGGCUGGUUGGAACUUUCCUGUGUGUGUGCGCCCUGACGGUGCUGUGUGGGCUCGUGGUGGUGGCCGUGUCACGGUUGCUGCUGCAGAAGAAAGUCAUGCCACGAGGGGGCGCCGGUGCGGAUUUAGGCUACCACUGCACUGGAAAGGAUCUCUCAUAUAUUCCUACAACCAAUGAGAAAACGGUGACCUACAGGAGGGACCGUCCGCCGGACCAGCCCGUGGAGAUGCACAUACAGGUUCCCAAGAUGUCUCUUGAUGAUCACUGGCAGUUCUAACCAGGGCACAAAGGUUGAAGUCUGAAGGAACGCGUCAAAGACAGAAAGAAGAAGAGCUGGACUGGAAACUUCUUUUCUGCUCCCUACACUCCCAGACAUCAAGAAAACUGUAUUUGAAGGACAAGACGAUGCUAAACUUGACUCCAAAACCUCAAUGGGGAUUAGACUCUUUGAUAUGAACUAACCAAACCAUGGGAGACUUUUUGACUACAGAGGCCAGUAUCUUUUGAAUCAAGAUGAAACAAAGUCGCCCACCUCUUCUUCCUCUGCAGCAGAGAGAGGGGCCACAGGGUAAAGAGGGAUUGUGAAGGUUCCUCUUUUCUUAGAUAUGCAGAGCAACUUGUCUGUCACAUGGAUGAGUGUGAGAGUGUCUGUGUGUGUUGUGCCUCUGGUUUCUAUUUAUGAUUUGAAAAUGUAACACUACAUGUUUGAAGUUCAUAUUUGUUUUAGAAGGCAUCGCUCCCCCUCCACCGUCUCUCUGGCUUUGUCUGCCCCCGUGUGGCCAACUCCAUGUACUACGACCUCUAAAAAAACACAAUUGACCUCAGCUGCAUUAACUGUUCCACCAAUGACUCCUCGCUCCUACUAACCCCUUUUUUCGUCGCAUGUAAUGGUUGAUUAAUGUUAUUCUGUGUGUUGACCUGCUCGUUACGGGAUGAAUUUGCACUAGAAAGCUGCAUUGUACUACUGAAAAACUAUGGGCACUCUGGGACAGGAGAGCUGUGAACUUUUGGGCAUUAGAGGUCGUCUUUGUGCAUUCAAAGCUGAUGAAACAAAUUCACCACCCAACACUGGAACAAGAAUGACCAAGAUUCAUAUUUAAGAUAUGUAUAAUCGCAAAACAAAAACGGUUAUUUAUAGCGAUGUAUUGUCGGACACUUGAGCGCGUGAGCUCUGCCUCACAGCCAUACUUUUUCCUGCUCUUGCUGAAGAUCUAUUUUCCAAAACGUCUGGACAACUUGAGGCUUUAAGGCACGAAUGGGCUCAGAUGGCACUGAGGACAGCAGUGGAAUCUAUGUAACCUUUAUGCACUAGAAGAGAUUACCUGAGACUUUUGCUUUUGCUCAAUCCUACUCAAAUUUCUAAUUUUUCAAGUAGGUUUUUUUUGUACUGUUGUACUUUUUCUGAAAGUUUAAAACACUAAUAACUAUUUAUUUUUGAUCGAGUUACAGGAGAUCUCCUAUAACUCAUAAUAGUGCUGCACAAUAAGACAGAUACUGUAGUUUUUUUGUGUUUUUUUUAAGUGAACUGCGGAAGGUUUCAGCAAUAAGUAGCAUUAUUAAUCAUCUCAUCUAAUAUGGUACUGAGUUUUUACAUGAAAACAGCACUUUUUCUUGGUAGAUUUGUUGUAAGUUAUUGCGUGUGACUGUUUUUAUCACAAUAAAAUGUGCAAGAUUUUGUUUAGUCAUUACUUGAGUGUAUGUGUAUGAAACAGCGUAGCCUUAUAUAAGUAAGUCUUUACCAUG
Long non-coding RNA from Poecilia latipinna (sailfin molly), 3057 nucleotides. RefSeq lists it as uncharacterized. Lineage: Eukaryota; Metazoa; Chordata; Actinopteri; Cyprinodontiformes; Poeciliidae. The record is from RefSeq and is a predicted model, not a curated record. The transcript is spliced from 2 exons.